CCUACGGGUGGCAGCAGUGGGGAAUAUUGCGCAAUGGGCGAAAGCCGGACGCAGCGACGCCGCGUGAGGGAUGAAGGUCUUCGGAUCGUAAACCUCUGUCAGCAGGGAAGAACGGUCACGGGGCUAAUCAGCAGUGAAUUGACGGUACCGGCAAAGGAAGCACCGGCUAACGCCGGGCCAGCAGCCGCGGUAAUACGGAGGGUGCGAGCGUUAAUCGGAAUUACUGGGCGUAAAGCGCUCGUAGGCGGUAUGUCAAGUCAAGGGUGAAAUCCCCGCGCUCACCGUGGGAACGGCCUUUGAAACUGGCACACUGGAGUGUGUGAGAGGAUAGUGGAAUUCCAGGUGU
RNAcentral lists this ribosomal RNA (346 nucleotides) under uncultured bacterium. RNAcentral's name for it is "partial 16S ribosomal RNA". It matches the Rfam family "Bacterial small subunit ribosomal RNA", at positions 338 to 676 of the family's 1533-position model. The record is from RNAcentral.